This 501-nucleotide ribosomal RNA is filed under the name uncultured bacterium. RNAcentral describes it as "partial 16S ribosomal RNA". It matches the Rfam family "Bacterial small subunit ribosomal RNA", at positions 29 to 523 of the family's 1533-position model. The record is from RNAcentral.
AUUGAACGCUGGCGGCAUGCCUUACACAUGCAAGUCGAACGGCAGCACGGGUGCUUGCACCUGGUGGCGAGUGGCGAACGGGUGAGUAAUACAUCGGAACGUACCUUAUCGUGGGGGAUAACGCAGCGAAAGCUGUGCUAAUACCGCAUACGCCCUGAGGGGGAAAGCGGGGGAUCGCAAGACCUCGCGCGAUUAGAGCGGCCGAUGCCUGAUUAGCUUGUUGGUGGGGUAAAAGCCCACCAAGGCGACGAUCAGUAGCUGGUCUGAGAGGACGAUCAGCAACACUGGGGCUGAGACACGGCCCAGACUCCUACGGGAGGCAGCAGGGGGGAAUUUUGGACAAUGGGGGCAACCCUGAUCCAGCAAUGCCGCGUGAGUGAAGAAGGCCUUCGGGUUGUAAAGCUCUUUUGUCAGGGAAGAAACACCGGCUCUAACACAGUCCGGGAAUGACGGUACCUGAAGAAUAAGCACCGGCUAACUACGUGCCAGCCGCCGCAGUAA